GCGCCGGCGAUGUUUCAUUCAAAUUUCUGCCCUAUCAACUUUCGACGGUAGGGUAGUGGCCUACCGUGGUGGUAACGGGUAACGGAGGAUUAGGGUUCGAUUCCGGAGAGGGAGCCUGAGAAACGGCUACCACAUCCAAGGAAGGCAGCAGGCGCGCAAAUUACCCAAAUCCCAACUCGGGGAGGUAGUGACAAGAAAUAACGAUGCUCCGGCCAUCGGUCGGGUAAUCGGAAUGAGGACAAUUUAAAUCCCUUAUCGAGGAUCAAUUGGAGGGCAAGUCUGGUGCCAGCAGCCGCGGUAAUUCCAGCUCCAAUAGCGUAUAUUUAAGUUGCUGCGGUUAAAAAGCUCGUAGUCGGAUUUCGGGUGGUGCCUACCGGUCCGCCUUUGGUGUGUACUGGUAGGCGCCACCUUUCUGCCGAGGACGGGUUCCUGGGCUUAACUGUCUGGGGCCCGGAGUCGGCGACGUCACUUUGAGUAAAUUAGGGUGUUUAAAGCAGGCUUAUGCUCUGUAUACACUAGCAUGGGAUGACACGAUAGGACUUCGGUCUAUCUUGUCGGUCUGUAGAUCGGAGUAAUGAUUAAGAGGGACAGUCGGGGGCAUUCGUAUUUCGUAGUCAGAGGUGAAAUUCUUGGAUUUACGGAAGACGAACUUCUGCGAAAGCAUUUGCCAAGGAUGUUUUCAUUGAUCAAGAACGAAAGUCGGGGGCUCGAAGACGAUUAGAUACCGUCGUAGUCUCGACCAUAAACGAUGC
RNAcentral lists this ribosomal RNA (752 nucleotides) under Trentepohliaceae sp. Kukwa 19095. RNAcentral's name for it is "SSU rRNA". It matches the Rfam family "Eukaryotic small subunit ribosomal RNA", at positions 281 to 1042 of the family's 1831-position model. The record is from RNAcentral. Lineage: Eukaryota; Viridiplantae; Chlorophyta; Ulvophyceae; Trentepohliales; Trentepohliaceae.